GACGAACGCUGGCGGCGUGCUUAACACAUGCAAGUCGAACGGAAAGGCCCUGCUUUUGUGGGGUGCUCGAGUGGCGAACGGGUGAGUAACACGUGAGUAACCUGCCCUUGACUUUGGGAUAACUUCAGGAAACUGGGGCUAAUACCGGAUAGGAGCUCCUGCUGCAUGGUGGGGGUUGGAAAGUUUCGGCGGUUGGGGAUGGACUCGCGGCUUAUCAGCUUGUUGGUGGGGUAGUGGCUUACCAAGGCUUUGACGGGUAGCCGGCCUGGGAGGGUGACCGGCCACAUUGGGACUGAGAUACGGCCCAGACGCCUACGGGAGGCAGCAGUGGGGAAUAUUGCACAAUGGGCGGAAGCCUGAGGCAGCAACGCCGCGUGCGGGAUGACGGCCUUCGGGUUGUAAACCGCUUUCGCCUGUGACGAAGCGUGAGUGACGGUAAUGGGUAAAGAAGCACCGGCUAACUACGUG
Molecule: ribosomal RNA, 468 nt
Filed under: uncultured bacterium
Lineage: Bacteria
Description: partial 16S ribosomal RNA
Rfam family: Bacterial small subunit ribosomal RNA
Source: RNAcentral